AUCUUCGUCCUGGCUCAGGAUGAACGCUGGCCGCGUGCCUAAUACAUGCAAGUCGAACGAACUUCCGUUAAUUGAUUAUGACGUGCUUGCACUGAAUGAGAUUUUAACACGAAGUGAGUGGCGGACGGGUGAGUAACACGUGGGUAACCUGCCCAGAAGCAGGGGAUAACACCUGGAAACAGAUGCUAAUACCGUAUAACAGAGAAAACCGCCUGGUUUUCUUUUAAAAGAUGGCUCUGCUAUCACUUCUGGAUGGACCGGCGGCGCAUUAGCUAGUUGGCGAGGUAACGGCUCACCAAGGCGAUGAUGCGUAGCCGACCUGAGAGGGUAAUCGGCCACAUUGGGACUGAGACACGGCCCAGACUCCUACGGGAGCCAGCAGUAGGGAAUCUUCCACAAUGGACGCAAGUCUGAUGGAGCAACGCCGCGUGAGUGAAGAAGGGUUUCGGCUCGUAAAGCUCUGUUGUUAAAGAAGAACGUGGGUGAGAGUAACUGUUCACCCAGUGACGGUAUUUAACCAGAAAGCCACGGCUAACUACGUGCCAGCAGCCGCGGUAAUACGUAGGUGGCAAGCGUUAUCCGGAUUUAUUGGGCGUAAAGCGAGCGCAGGCGGUCUUUUAAGUCUAAUGUGAAAGCCUUCGGCUCAACCGAAGAAGUGCAUUGGAAACUGGGAGACUUGAGUGCAGAAGAGGACAGUGGAACUCCAUGUGUAGCGGUGAAAUGCGUAGAUAUAUGGAAGAACACCAGUGGCGAAGGCGGCUGUCUG
Molecule: ribosomal RNA, 766 nt
Filed under: Pediococcus acidilactici
Lineage: Bacteria; Bacillati; Bacillota; Bacilli; Lactobacillales; Lactobacillaceae
Description: bacterial SSU rRNA
Rfam family: Bacterial small subunit ribosomal RNA
Source: RNAcentral